AUGAAAGAAUUCAUGGCUGAAAUCGCCAUUCUUGGUCACCUGCGCCACCGUAACCUUGUCCAGCUGAUUGGCUACUGCCGCCAUAGGCAGGAGCUUCUUUUGGUCUAUGACUAUAUGCCCAAUGGAUGCCUUGAUACGUAUUUGCAUAAAAAGGAUAAGCCAACUCUGGGCUGGGAUCAAAGGCUUCACAUCAUUAAAGGGGUUACAGCCGGCCUUGUGUACUUGGAUGAGGACUGGGAGCAAGUUGUUAUCCAUCGAGAUAUUAAGGUUAGCAACGUGCUCCUUGAUGAUGGAAUGAAUGGAAGACUAGGUGAUUUCGGCCUUGCAAGGUUGCACGAACAUGAAACCGACGCCCAUACCACGCGUGUGGCCGGCACCUGGGGUUACAUUGCUCCUGAGCUGGCUAGGCUCGGGAAGGCAACCAAGGCAACAGAUGUGUAUGCAUCUGGCAUAUUCCUGAUGGAAGUUGCAUGUGGAAGACGACCAAUUGAGGCGAAUGCCCAUGGUGAACCUCUGGUGCUAGCAGACUGGGUGCUCAACACAUGGCAAACUGGUUCACUCAUUAAUGCCCAUGGUGAAUAUAUUGUUGGAGGCCCUGUAAGCGCUCGGAUGCACGUGCCAAAGGCCUGUAGAAAGCUCAAGAGAACACCUCGAGGAAAGUUGAGGAAGAGCUUUCAAGGUUUUCUAAAGAUGGGGAUCCUCCAUUGGAUUCAGAAGAAGGUGAGCCCGCCCAAGGUCUGA
Molecule: ribosomal RNA, 741 nt
Filed under: Triticum aestivum (bread wheat)
Lineage: Eukaryota; Viridiplantae; Streptophyta; Magnoliopsida; Poales; Poaceae
Description: partial small subunit ribosomal RNA
Source: RNAcentral